GAUGAACGCUAGCGGCAGGCUUAAUACAUGCAAGUCGAGGGGCAGCAUAAGUAGCAAUACUUGAUGGCGACCGGCAAACGGGUGCGGAACACGUACGCAACCUUCCUUUAAGCGGGGAAUAGCCCGGGGAAACCCGGAUUAAUACCCCAUAAUAUAUUGAGAAAGCAUUUUCUUUUUAUUAAAGAUUUAUCACUUAAAGAUGGGCGUGCGCCUGAUUAGGUAGUUGGCGGAGUAAUAGCCCACCAAGCCNGCGAUCAGUAACUGGUGUGAGAGCACGACCAGUCACACGGGCACUGAGACACGGGCCCGACUCCUACGGGCGGCAGCAGUAAGGAACAUUGGUCAAUGGACGCAAGUCUGAACCAGCCAUGCCGCGUGGAGGAUGAAGGUCCU
Molecule: ribosomal RNA, 393 nt
Filed under: uncultured bacterium
Lineage: Bacteria
Description: bacterial SSU rRNA
Rfam family: Bacterial small subunit ribosomal RNA
Source: RNAcentral